This 253-nucleotide ribosomal RNA is filed under the name uncultured bacterium. RNAcentral describes it as "partial 16S ribosomal RNA". It matches the Rfam family "Bacterial small subunit ribosomal RNA", at positions 524 to 776 of the family's 1533-position model. The record is from RNAcentral.
UACGGAGGGUGCGAGCGUUGUCCGGAAUCACUGGGCGUAAAGGGCGCGUAGGCGGUCUGUUAAGCGUGUGGUGAAAGCUCGGGGCUCAACCCCGAGUCUGCCAUGCGAACUGGUGGACUUGAGCACUGUAGAGGGUAGUGGAAUUUCCGGUGUAGCGGUGAAAUGCGUAGAGAUCGGAAGGAACACCAGUGGCGAAGGCGGCUACCUGGACAAAUACUGACGCUGAGGCGCGAAAGCGUGGGGAUCAAACAGG